Bactrocera neohumeralis is the source of this 1859-nucleotide long non-coding RNA. RefSeq lists it as uncharacterized. The transcript has 2 exons. NCBI's taxonomy places the organism in Eukaryota, Metazoa, Arthropoda, Insecta, Diptera, Tephritidae. The record is from RefSeq and is a predicted model, not a curated record.
UCUUCUUCUAUUUGUUAACUGCAGUAAAAGGAAUAGAUAAAUAUGAAAAUUAAAAUAAUAUCUGUUUUUUAUGUUGCUGGAGGAAACCAAAUGUAAUUUUAUUACACUUAUUACGUUGUUGGGUCAAUUUGACCCACCUAGUAUUUUGAAACAUUUUGCUGUUUAUUAUUACAUCACUCGAUCAAGAACGCCGACAAAGAAAGCUAGUUAUCGGAAAUCGAGUAUAUUUUGCACAGCUCUAUGUUUAUAUAUUCUCGAUAAAUUUAUAGCCUUUUCGAAAAAGGGUAACUCCCGUUUUAUACACCUGUGCAAAGAGUAAUGCCGGAAUUACAUGUACAGAUAUUCUGCAUGCAGAUCUGCACUAUUUUUUCCAGCCAAAACACAUGUGCAGUAAAUUUUGACAAUCAGUUGAUUGCAAUAAAUAAUUGAAAUUGAAAUUUAAAAAUUUUAAAAUGGAAGUGGAAAGAAAAAAAGAUUGCAACAAUUGCUUUUACUUCUAGUUGCCAAAAAGAAAUUAAUUAAUAUUUUAAGCUUGUGCGCGAUAAGUGAUAAAAAACACGGGUGUGGACGAUUCCUAUAUAUGCGGAAAAUGAGAGAGAGCUGCAUGGUUUUUUCAAUAAUUUAUUCAUCUAUAUACAUAUAUAAAAAAACAAUGAUUCCUUUCAGUUCCAAAAGGCUACUCGAAUGCAAGUGGAUCAAUUUAAGCUUCUUCUAAGCUUAAUUAAAAGGUGUAUAGCAAAACAGUUUCAUAUACUUACGUCGUCCAAUACCAGCAGAAUGUCGCCUGGCAAUAACAUUAGUAUAUUUGGCCCAUGGAGUUUGCCGCCUGAUGUUGGCUUGGGCUUUUCGAGUAGGAGUAUCAACAAUUGGCAAAAUUUUAUUGGAAACAUCCGCAGCCAUUUGGGAUGAACUUUCAGGAAUAUACUUGGCGCAACCAAAUGAACAUGAGUGGAGGCAAAUAGCCGAUUCAUUUAACAUCAAGACAGGAAUGCCUCAUGUUGUAGGAGCUGUUGACGGCAAACAUGUCCAAAUCAAGUGUUCGCGAAAAUCCGGAUCACUGUAUUUUAAUUAUAAGCAAUAUUUUAGUAUUGUGUUGUUAGCCGUUUGUGAUAGCAAAUAUACAUUUACCGCAGUAGACAUUGGAGCUUACGGAAGCCAAAGUGAUGGCAGAGUGUUAAAAAUCAGUGGUUUUGGAAAUAGAAUAUUAAACGGAACAAUGAACCUACCAGAAGCAGAAAAUCUUCCACGUAGUGCGAUAAAAUUCCCAUUUUAUUAUGUGGGAGAUGCUGCUUUUCUGUUGACAAAACAUUUGAUGAGGCCAUAUCCGGGAAAGUGUUUGGAAGCAAACAAAGACCACUUCAAUAAAUGUUUAUCCAGAGCGCGGGUUACAAUUGAAAAUAAUUUGGCAUUUUAGUGGCUAGAUGGCGAGUUCUCAAUAAUUCUUUGAAUAUGUUUCCCGAAAAUGCCAAUACCACAGUUAGAGCUACAUUAAUUUUACAUAAUUUUGUAAAGCUCCAUAACGCCGAAUUCUUUUGUCCCAAUAACUUCGUUGACCACAUAAAUGAAAGUGGCAUUCUAAUUGAAGGGCAGUGGAGACAAUUUGUAGCGCCAUUACAUCAGAUUACGAUAUUAUCAAGCGCUAACGCAAGACGAAGUGCUUUUGAUACCCGAGAUCUUCUUAAAAAUUAUCUCUUCUUUAAUAAAUAAGUAAAUAAUUGAAUAAAUGUAUUAUAAAAUAAAUAUGUCGGUUCGACGUAACCUGUAUGGAUUUGUAUUCCUCAAAAUUGUUUGCGCUGAAAUAACAAAAACAACAACUACAAAAUAAAUAAAUAACUUUGUACUUUUUUAUAUAUUUGAAA